AACGCUAGCUACAGGCUUAACACAUGCAAGUCGCGGGGCAGCAUGAAUUUAGUUUGCUAAAUUUGAUGGCGACCGGCGCACGGGUGAGUAACGCGUAUCCAACCUUCCCCUGUCCACGGGAUAGCCCGUCGAAAGGUGGAUUAAUACCGUAUGAGGUCACACGAUGGCAUCAGACUGUGACGAAAGGUUUUGCGGACAGGGAUGGGGAUGCGUCCGAUUAGGUAGUCGGCGGGGUAACGGCCCACCGAGCCGACGAUCGGUAGGGGUUCUGAGAGGAAGGUCCCCCACAUUGGAACUGAGACACGGUCCAAACUCCUACGGGAGGCAGCAGUGAGGAAUAUUGGUCAAUGGACGUAAGUCUGAACCAGCCAAGUAGCGUGCAGGAUGACGGCCCUAUGGGUUGUAAACUGCUUUUAUGCGGGGAUAAAGUGAGGGACGCGUCCCUUUUUGCAGGUACCGCAUGAAUAAGGACCGGCUAAUUCCGUGCCAGCAGCCGCGGUAAUACGGAAGGUCCGGGCGUUAUCCGGAUUUAUUGGGUUUAAAGGGAGCGUAGGCCGGCUUUUAAGCGUGUUGUGAAAUGCCGCGGCUCAACCGUGGCACUGCAGCGCGAACUGGAGGCUUGAGUGCACGCAACGCAGGCGGAAUUCGUGGUGUAGCGGUGAAAUGCUUAGAUAUCACGAAGAACUCCGAUUG
This 693-nucleotide ribosomal RNA is filed under the name uncultured Bacteroidales bacterium. Its description in RNAcentral is "bacterial SSU rRNA". It matches the Rfam family "Bacterial small subunit ribosomal RNA", at positions 32 to 715 of the family's 1533-position model. The record is from RNAcentral. Lineage: Bacteria; Pseudomonadati; Bacteroidota; Bacteroidia; Bacteroidales.